This 253-nucleotide ribosomal RNA is filed under the name uncultured bacterium. RNAcentral's name for it is "partial 16S ribosomal RNA". It matches the Rfam family "Bacterial small subunit ribosomal RNA", at positions 524 to 776 of the family's 1533-position model. The record is from RNAcentral.
UACGUAGGGUCCGAGCGUUGUCCGGAAUUACUGGGCGUAAAGAGCUCGUAGGUGGUUUGUCGCGUUGUCCGUGAAAACUCACAGCUCAACUGUGGGCGUGCGGGCGAUACGGGCAGACUGGAGUACUGCAGGGGAGACUGGAAUUCCUGGUGUAGCGGUGAAAUGCGCAGAUAUCAGGAGGAACACCGGUGGCGAAGGCGGGUCUCUGGGCAGUAACUGACGCUGAGGAGCGACAGCGUGGGGAGCAAACAGG